RNAcentral lists this long non-coding RNA (269 nucleotides) under Panax ginseng (ginseng). RNAcentral's name for it is "long non-coding RNA (PGIN_LNC015331)". Lineage: Eukaryota; Viridiplantae; Streptophyta; Magnoliopsida; Apiales; Araliaceae. The record is from RNAcentral.
AUUUUUCUGUGACGCCCCCAAAUCCGGGUACUUAAAACCCGAACUCGGUGCUUCACGAUACCAUUUCUAUAAGCUGAAUCAUACAAUAGUAAUGUUACAUUCAAACUUAAUUUACAUACAUCAGAGUUUACUUCCCAGGUACGAGACCUUUAAAUACAUUCCUUACAAUACUUGAAUAGAUACCAAUACAACUAUAACCAUUAACUCAUAAUACACACUUAUUCGAUCAGCUUUCCUUUUCCUUUGUUCGUGCCUGAGCCUUCAGGUUG